CAGCAGCCGCGGGAAUACGUAGGGUGCAAGCGUUAAUCGGAAUUACUGGGCGUAAAGCGUGCGCAGGCGGUUAUAUAAGACAGAUGUGAAAUCCCCGGGCUCAACCUGGGAACUGCAUUUGUGACUGUAUAGCUAGAGUACGGCAGAGGGGGAUGGAAUUCCGCGUGUAGCAGUGAAAUGCGUAGAUAUGCGGAGGAACACCGAUGGCGAAGGCAAUCCCCUGGGCCUGUACUGACGCUCAUGCACGAAAGCGUGGGGAGCAAACAGGAUUAGAUACCCCCGUAGUCCCUGUCUCUUAUAC
This 301-nucleotide ribosomal RNA is filed under the name uncultured bacterium. RNAcentral describes it as "partial 16S ribosomal RNA". It matches the Rfam family "Bacterial small subunit ribosomal RNA", at positions 509 to 807 of the family's 1533-position model. The record is from RNAcentral.